Molecule: ribosomal RNA, 169 nt
Filed under: uncultured bacterium
Lineage: Bacteria
Description: partial 16S ribosomal RNA
Rfam family: Bacterial small subunit ribosomal RNA
Source: RNAcentral
CCUACGGGAGGCAGCAGCUAAGAAUAUUGGGCAAUGGAGGAAACUCUGACCCAGCCAUGCCGCGUGAAUGAAGAAGGCCUUCGGGUUGUAAAGUUCUUUUAAUCGUGAAGAUGAUGACAGUAGCGAUAGAAAAAGCACCGGCUAACUUCGUGCCAGCAGCCGCGGUAAU